UGAACGCUAGCUACAGGCUUAACACAUGCAAGUCGAGGGUCAGCAUGGUCUUAGCUUGCUAAGGCCGAUGGCGACCGGCGCACGGGUGAGUAACACGUAUCCAACCUGCCGUCUACUCUUGGACAGCCUUCUGAAAGGAAGAUUAAUACAAGAUGGCAUCAUGAGUCCGCAUGUUCACAUGAUUAAAGGUAUUCCGGUAGACGAUGGGGAUGCGUUCCAUUAGAUAGUAGGCGGGGUAACGGCCCACCUAGUCUUCGAUGGAUAGGGGUUCUGAGAGGAAGGUCCCCCACAUUGGAACUGAGACACGGUCCAAACUCCUACGGGAGGCAGCAGUGAGGAAUAUUGGUCAAUGGGCGAGAGCCUGAACCAGCCAAGUAGCGUGAAGGAUGACUGCCCUAUGGGUUGUAAACUUCUUUUAUAAAGGAAUAAAGUCGGGUAUGGAUACCCGUUUGCAUGUACUUUAUGAAUAAGGAUCGGCUAACUCCGUGCCAGCAGCCGCGGUAAUACGGAGGAUCCGAGCGUUAUCCGGAUUUAUUGGGUUUAAAGGGAGCGUAGAUGGAUGUUUAAGUCAGUUGUGAAAGUUUGCGGCUCAACCGUAAAAAUUGCAGUUGAUACGGGAUAUCUUGAGGGCAAGUGGAGGUAGGGAGAAUUUCGUGGUGUAGCGGUGAAAUGCUUAGAUAUCACGAAGAACUCCGAUUGCGAAGCCAGCUUGGUAAGCUGCAACUGACAUGGAGGCUGGAAAGUGUGGGUAUCAAACAGGAUUAGAUACCCUGGUAGUCCACACGGUAAACGAUGAAUACUCGCUGUUUGCGAUAUACAGCAAGCGGCCAAGCGAAAGCGUUAAGUAUUCCACCUGGGGAGUACGCCGGCAACGGUGAAACUCAAAGGAAUUGACGGGGGCCCGCACAAGCGGAGGAACAUGUGGUUUAAUUCGAUGAUACGCGAGGAACCUUACCCGGGCUUAAAUUGCAGAUGAAUUACGGUGAAAGCCGUAAGCCGCAAGGCAUCUGUGAAGGUGCUGCAUGGUUGUCGUCAGCUCGUGCCGUGAGGUGUCGGCUUAAGUGCCAUAACGAGCGCAACCCUUGUUGUCAGUUACUAACAGGUUCCGCUGAGGACUCUGACAAGACUGCCAUCGUAAGAUGUGAGGAAGGUGGGGAUGACGUCAAAUCAGCACGGCCCUUACGUCCGGGGCUACACACGUGUUACAAUGGGGGGUACAGAGGGCCGCUACCACGCGAGUGGAUGCCAAUCCCCAAAACCUCUCUCAGUUCGGACUGGAGUCUGCAACCCGACUCCACGAAGCUGGAUUCGCUAGUAAUCGCGCAUCAGCCACGGCGCGGUGAAUACGUUCCCGGGCCUUGUACACACCGCCCGUCAAGCCAUGGGAGCCGGGGGUACAAGAAGUGCGUAACCGCGAGGAGCGCCCUAGGGUA
This 1433-nucleotide ribosomal RNA is filed under the name uncultured organism. RNAcentral describes it as "16S ribosomal RNA". It matches the Rfam family "Bacterial small subunit ribosomal RNA". The record is from RNAcentral.